UCUUGCCGCUGCCAUGAAAGGAGUGCUUUUUGCCUCCCACCAUGAUUCUGAGGCCUCCCCAGCCAUGUAGAAUUAGCCAGCCUGUUUUUGAUGAAGAGCAACUGUACUGGAGAGAAAGCCUGUAUUCAUAUUCAUCGUCAUCAGGCAAAUCGAGGAGCUGACUUGCUUAGGAUCACGAGUCACUGAUUCAGAGGACCAUUUACAGUCAUCACCUGGCAGCGUGCAUGGGGCGAUUGGUUCCAGGUCACCCCUGUAUCAAAACCCGCAGAUACCAAAAUCCAGGGAUGCAUACCUCUCGGUCUGCUGGUUGAAUCCAUGGAUGCAGAACCCCAGAUUCGGAGGGCUGAAUGUACUUUCGAUAGGUUCCUGAGCAGCAGUGAUUAUAGUCACAGCAGACUGGACAGUUUGGUGAGCAAGUUCAGGGGCUGGCUUAGUGAUUCAUAGUUCUUUCUUCCUCCUCCCCCAGCAGUUUUGUUUCAGCAGUGAUUUGGUCAAAUGUGAACCACAAACCAGCAGCAAAAGCAUUUUCUAGGAACUUGUUAAAACUGGAAGGCCCAAGGUUGCACUCAGGCUUACUGAGUCAGUCACUCCAAGUGGACCCCAUCCCUAAACCUUGAGACUCACUGCUCCUCUUUUGAUCUGGGAGAGAAACAGAAAAAAGAAGGAAAAAAAAUCCCCAAUGUGAGUAUGCUGGAAAGUAAAUUUGAAUAGCUUUUUAUAUUGGGUACUUACUGUGGGUAAUUUACAAACUAUUGGAAGGAACCACAAAUUCAAACACAGCCAAAUUUAAGGUCUCUUUAGCAGAAAUCAAUCUUACAUCAUGGCAGUUCUCCCAUUCUCCAGUCUUUCACUUGAUAGAUCACUUCCUCAUUAGGAUGACCUACAGCAAUUCUACAUGAACUGCUCUUUACAUUUAAACAGUGCUUUCUGUCCUAACAUGUCAAAAUGCUUGACAAGCAAUCAAAAGGUAGCUCACUAAUUUUUUCAACUCAUGG
RNAcentral lists this long non-coding RNA (995 nucleotides) under Homo sapiens (human). RNAcentral describes it as "PKIA antisense RNA 1". Lineage: Eukaryota; Metazoa; Chordata; Mammalia; Primates; Hominidae. The record is from RNAcentral.